GGGUGCAAGCGUUGUUCGGAAUUAUUGGGCGUAAAGCGCGUGUAGGCGGUUUCUUAAGUCAGGAGUGAAAGGCUACGGCUUAACCGUAGUAAGCUCUUGAAACUGGGAAACUUGAGUGCAGGAGAGGAAAGUGGAAUUCCUAGUGUAGCGGUGAAAUCCGUAGAUAUUAGGAGGAACACCGGUGGCGAAGGCGGCUACCUGGACCGAUACUGACGCUGAGACGCGAAAGCGUGGGGAGC
RNAcentral lists this ribosomal RNA (239 nucleotides) under uncultured bacterium. RNAcentral describes it as "partial 16S ribosomal RNA". It matches the Rfam family "Bacterial small subunit ribosomal RNA", at positions 530 to 769 of the family's 1533-position model. The record is from RNAcentral.